Molecule: microRNA, 21 nt
Filed under: Ananas comosus (pineapple)
Lineage: Eukaryota; Viridiplantae; Streptophyta; Magnoliopsida; Poales; Bromeliaceae
Description: microRNA s1161_c013b
Source: RNAcentral
UAAACCCUAAACCCUAAACCC